UUCCUUGGGUAUUUCUGGAUGGGUAAGGA
Molecule: non-coding RNA, 29 nt
Filed under: Rattus norvegicus (Norway rat)
Lineage: Eukaryota; Metazoa; Chordata; Mammalia; Rodentia; Muridae
Source: RNAcentral